RNAcentral lists this long non-coding RNA (611 nucleotides) under Equus caballus (horse). RNAcentral describes it as "lncRNA (ENSECAG00000036369.2)". Lineage: Eukaryota; Metazoa; Chordata; Mammalia; Perissodactyla; Equidae. The record is from RNAcentral.
AUUUGACAAAUAAAUGGACCAAUGAUAACAAUUUAACCAACUUUUUGUUUUUAACUCAGUCUAGCACAGCUGGAUGACCUGCUUCAAAAUUCAAGGCACAAUCGAAAGCACUGGACAAAAUUCAGAUUUACUCUGACAACAAAGGUCUGAGGCAAGGAUUGCUGAUGUGGAGUCAAAGAGAAGUCCAGACGGGAGAAGACGAGCUAGCAUCCCAGAUAUUUCCGUGUAGCCCUCCAGAUCCACUCCCCACUCUUCCCCACCCUGUUCUGUGCCCCAGCUGCUGAUCUGUAGGACCUGCAGCAAGGUACCUGCUCUUUGGCUUCCCACUGUGUUAUCCAGAGGAAUGCAUUGACAGAGAAUCAGCAAGGAGAAAAGUUGGACCUGUAUUCCCCAGACAUCUUGCUGCUGGGCCCCCUCAGACUUUUCACUACAAUGAACAAUAUUUCACUGACUCUCCGUAGGAAAAUUUCUCUAAGGUUCUUAUGGCAUUGCUGGGCAAAAAGAAAAAAAAAAUUUAGAUACCUUGACUUUGAGGUACUAUGCUAUUGAGUGCCAAAAUGGAAUUUUUACAGUAUAGUUGGCCCUCUAUAUCUGACAGUUCCACAUCCAAG